UGACACACACACACACACACGACCCUGGGGGACUACAUCCCUGGGCUCCAAAAAGGAUGCACAGUGCAGUGCUGUCUGGUCGGGAUUGUGUUUCUCCGGAUCUCUCAAGAGCAGCCAGAGGAUUUUAUCUUUCAGUCUCAGCACUGAGACUUGUCUGCUCCUUAGAAAUCACUCUCUAAAGAUCAGCCACUUUCUCUCAGGUGUGGAUUUAAAGGUGUACAGGCUUUUGAAUUUUGAGGAAUUGGCAAUUGCUGCAACAGAGGGAGGUCCAUCAAGUGGUCCACCAAGACCCUCAGCUAUUGUCAAGGGGUCUGUGGAGGAAACAAAAGUUUGGGAACCACCGCAGUUCAUCUUUCACAAUGAGUCAUCUUUGUCUGAAAAUCCAUGCUAUUGUACUCAAAGUGGACUUGCAACUGAUACAGAUUCAGCAACAUAACAAUGGGACAUUUGUGAUAAAAGUGUAGAGGAAUAAAUCACCUGGACAGAACAAUUUCAAUCAUCGGUGUUCCAUUCUUUAACCAUUCAUUACAAACUAAAAGCACCACAAUGACAGCAAUAAAUAGUUACAACGCAGUUGCCCAACCUUGCAAAAAUCACCAGAAAAACUCAGCAAACCACAACAAUACAAAUAAAUUAAGCUCUCAGGUAUAAUGGAUGCAAUAAGGAUGAUAACAUGCGAACCUUGAAAACUAACAAGCAGUGCAGCGUGAUGUCACUCAGACUUUCUACCACCUAAUGGCUGCUUCCUCUUU
Rhineura floridana is the source of this 752-nucleotide long non-coding RNA. RefSeq lists it as uncharacterized. NCBI's taxonomy places the organism in Eukaryota, Metazoa, Chordata, Lepidosauria, Squamata, Rhineuridae. The transcript has 3 exons. The record is from RefSeq and is a predicted model, not a curated record.